This 451-nucleotide ribosomal RNA is filed under the name Streptococcus mitis. RNAcentral describes it as "bacterial SSU rRNA". It matches the Rfam family "Bacterial small subunit ribosomal RNA", at positions 28 to 465 of the family's 1533-position model. The record is from RNAcentral. Lineage: Bacteria; Bacillati; Bacillota; Bacilli; Lactobacillales; Streptococcaceae.
GACGAACGCUGGCGGCGUGCCUAAUACAUGCAAGUAGAACGCUGAAGGAGGAGCUUGCUUCUCUGGAUGAGUUGCGAACGGGUGAGUAACGCGUAGGUAACCUGCCUGGUAGCGGGGGAUAACUAUUGGAAACGAUAGCUAAUACCGCAUAAUAGCAGUUGUUGCAUGACAACUGUUUGAAAGGUGCAAUUGCAUCACUACCAGAUGGACCUGCGUUGUAUUAGCUAGUUGGUGGGGUAAGGGCUCACCAAGGCGACGAUACAUAGCCGACCUGAGAGGGUGAUCGGCCACACUGGGACUGAGACACGGCCCAGACUCCUACGGGAGGCAGCAGUAGGGAAUCUUCGGCAAUGGACGGAAGUCUGACCGAGCAACGCCGCGUGAGUGAAGAAGGUUUUCGGAUCGUAAAGCUCUGUUGUAAGAGAAGAACGAGUGUGAGAGUGGAAAGUUC